This 195-nucleotide ribosomal RNA is filed under the name uncultured bacterium. RNAcentral describes it as "partial 16S ribosomal RNA". It matches the Rfam family "Bacterial small subunit ribosomal RNA", at positions 338 to 524 of the family's 1533-position model. The record is from RNAcentral.
CCUACGGGAGGCAGCAGCGGGGAAUAUUGGACAAUGGGCGCAAGCCUGAUCCAGCCAUGCCGCGUGUGUGAAGAAGGCCUUUUGGUUGUAAAGCACUUUAAGCGAGGAGGAGGCUACUUGGAUUAAUACUCUAGGAUAGUGGACGUUACUCGCAGAAUAAGCACCGGCUAACUCUGUGCCAGCAGCCGCGGUAAU